UCACAUAUUCUCAAUAUCCAUCACAUACAAUUCUCACACCCAAAAAUAGAAAAGGACCCAUAUAGUAACAAUACUACAAUGACACGCAUAUACAUACAGGGACCUACACAAUUCUAAAGGGGGGAAGCUAACUGAAAUUCCUUUUCUGGGGAAGCUAACUCAAAUUCCUUUUCUGGUGGAGAGAAUACAAACACAUAGGGACAUAGACACACAUAGAAAAAAAUGCAAAAAAAGGAGAAGCCAUCAUCAUCCUCCUAUAGAGGACACACACAGAGUAAAGAGAGAUCAAGAGUGAGAGGUCGUGAAGGGAGAACAGACUGGAUGAAGCAAAAAAAUGGAGAAAAUAAUAAAAAUGGAUUGAAAUGGGGAAGGGAAUGAGUGAAAUAGAAAAUUGGUGAGAAAUUCGGUCCUUUUUGAGCUAUUUCUGGCAAAACUUUCACCGGAAUCGACUCUAGUUCAUCGAUUCGGCCAAUCCAGUCCGAAAAUCCCAAAAUUUCUCCAUUUUCCCAUGGUUUCUCGGUAAAUCUGGUAGAAAAAUACUAAACUUCACCGGAAUCUGCCUUUCUCCAUCGGUUGUCGCUGCUUCCAGAGUUCAUCAAAAUUCUGGGCACAUAGUUUCUAGGGUUCUCUUGUAAAUUUAGGUGUUGGGUUCACUGUUCUUUAUGGUUUCUGCAUUUCGAGUCAAAUUUUGGAGAUUUUCUUAUCGGAGUUGGCUCGUAGUUGAGUUGUGGUAUUCUUCAAGGAUCCAAGACAACUUUUAUUCUCUUUUUAAGUCAAUUGAAAGCAUCUGGAAGGUCCAAUUCUAUCUUCUAUCCCUUUAAUUUACGUAAUUGCAAAUGAUUUGUGUGUUUGGUAUGUUUGAAUCUUUGUUGUGUGUUGGUUAGUGUUGGUUUCAGAUUUUGAAAAGUGAAUUGAUAAUAGAAGCAUGUGUUAAUCAUUGUGGAGAAUGAAUUUGGGGCGGAAUUAAAAAAUUGAUAAAAGGGUGAAUUUAGAUUAAUGUUGGUUUAUUGUUGUUUUGUUUAAUUCAAAAUAAAUAUCAAGUUUGUGAAAUCGAUAGUAUGACUGUUUUAGGUCGUUAAAUGGGUAGGCAAAUGCUAAUUCGGGUAGGCAAAUUUUAGGAACGUGUUUUGUUGAAUGUUUGAAUGUGCAUGUGAAUAGUUCUUUCUACUUUAUCGCACAAGAUUUGAAGAUGUAUUCAUUCGCCGGGGAAUGCCUCGAGUUUAUAUUGUACUUAUUCAUCGGGGAAUGCCCCGAAGUAUUUUGUACUCGGAGGACGUCCGUGACGAAGGCUCGAGGCAUCGGAUAAAGCAUUGGAGCGUAGUUUAGGAUUAGCGUAGGUUAGCGUAGGUUUAAAUUUUUGUAUUUUUUAUUUUGGGACUUUAUAAUUAGACCAGACAUUAUAUUUUUGGGAUUCAUUUUGUUUGUUGUUUGUUUGAUUGUUUUUGUGUGAUUUAUACAUUCAUAGUGUCAAAUUAGCCGAUAUACUCCACCAAUCGACCAUGGUCAAACCAUGGGAUCAAGGGGUGCCUAACACCUUUCCCUCGAUCAAUAGAAUUUCUUAGCCAGAAUCUCUAUUUGCAAACCAGUUUAAAGAGUCAAAUCAUUUUGAAAAGGAUUUUUCAAAGGUGACUUGGCACACCAGAUUUAUGCCAAGUGGCGACUCUGAUUUUUUAUUAUUAAAAGUCCUUUUCGAAAUAAAUUUUUAUUUUUUCACUUUAAUAAUAAAAAUCCUUUCAAACUUAAAUCAUAUUCUUUUUGGUUAAAAAAGGGGUGUGACACUCAUGAUCAAGAAACUUUUCAUAUGAAGACGUUCUUCAUGGGGGAUUAUUAAAUCUCGAGCACAGAUAGCG
Molecule: long non-coding RNA, 1850 nt
Filed under: Capsicum annuum
Lineage: Eukaryota; Viridiplantae; Streptophyta; Magnoliopsida; Solanales; Solanaceae
Description: long non-coding RNA (CANN_LNC014904)
Source: RNAcentral